This 1593-nucleotide ribosomal RNA is filed under the name Triticum aestivum (bread wheat). Its description in RNAcentral is "partial small subunit ribosomal RNA". Lineage: Eukaryota; Viridiplantae; Streptophyta; Magnoliopsida; Poales; Poaceae. The record is from RNAcentral.
AUGUCGCCGCGCGCCUGUGUCGUGUCUUUGCUGAAGGGAUUAGUCGCUAUCUGGGGAGUAAAGCUUGCAUUCUGUUGCUUUACUGAAGGACUAUGGAAGUGCCGGCACUGCGAUUGGACGUACCGCUUGGCUAGUCCGUGCGGAAAUCGUACCGUAGAUCAUCGAGGCUUAUUAAAACCAGAGCAUUUGGCAGUUGAAUCAUAUUCGGAGAACCAAGCUGCUGCAGAUCAAGUGCAGUCCGAGAUGCAGAACUCCAACGAUACAACCACUAAAAUUGAAUCUCGCACAUAUGCUCAUCAUAGUCAUGGCACAGUUGUAAAACCAGAGCACUCGAUAACCGAAUCAUCGCCGGCAGAUCAGAACACGACAACCACCACAACUACAACCACAUCGGCAACAGCUACCACAACCUCUACAACCACAUCAGCAGCAGCAACAACUCACUCAUCGUCUGCUACAGGAAUCUUUCACGCAGAAGUAAUGGAAGGGAUGACAGGUGACACGCCUCCCCUGAAGCCUGCCGAUGGAGUUAUCAUGGAUGCAACUCACCACCUACUUGGACAUGGGGAUGUUCAUGGAACUACAACGACAACCUUCGAGAAUGGCUCAUUUACCACCCAUGUAAGUCGCAUAACAGAACUCAAGGUCGAUUGCCCGAAUGUGACCACUAUCGUGAGGGGUGAUUUACCAACCUCGCCGAUACCUCAAGCAGCAGAUCAACCUCAUGUAGCAGUGUCAGUCCCUCAAGAUGUGAAUCCGGCUGCUCCUAGCCCCCAACAGAGUGAUGACUGGGAUAUACCGAAAGCCAUAGUGUAUGGUGGCUUAGUGGAGUCAGUCACCAGCCUCUCCGUUGUUUCAGCAGCAGCAUCAAGUGGAGCAAAAACAUUGGACAUAUUCAUCUUGGGCAUAGCCAACCUUAUGGGAGGGCUUCCUCUCAUUUUCCACAAUAUUGCCGAUCUAAGAGACAUUCGAGAUGUGAAUGAGGACAACGAGCGCGUCGGCCACUACUGGUUGCAGCUCGGAAGGCGGACGAAAGCCCGACUCCACAUGAUCCUGGCCCUGCUCUCAUACAUCGUGUUCGGGCUACUUCCACCAAUCCUCUAUGGUCUGUCAUUCCGUGAGAGCAAUGACAGGGAGAACAAGAUGAUGGCCGUCGCUGGUGCUUCACUCGUCUGCAUCGCUCUACUAGCACUUGGAAAGGUGCAUGUCAAGGCAGCACCCAGGACAUACUUCAAGACCCUAAUGUACUACCUGACGGUCGCUGUGAGCUCAUCGGGGCUGUCCUGCGUCGUCGGCGUGCUGAUCACACGGCUCCUGGUGCACUUUGAAAUUAUCGAGCAAGGUGGGUCGGCUGCUCCUCCUUCUCCGGGCCUGUCGUUCCCUCAUUCAAUGUGGAUUACACAUGAGAAUUUGGGACGGAGGCAAACCUUGAAGCUCCCUCCCCGCCCGAUCAGGGCAUGUUGGAUUAAUAGUCUGCCCCUCCCCACACGUUACCGGCGGCUGCAACCAUUUUUUCUCUUGGAGCAAGGAACAUUUGGCACCCCGCUCCAUCCUUGCCAGUCCAAUUCAGAAAGCAUCCGAAGCAAACCCUAG